Molecule: long non-coding RNA, 889 nt
Filed under: Cyanistes caeruleus (blue tit)
Lineage: Eukaryota; Metazoa; Chordata; Aves; Passeriformes; Paridae
Description: lncRNA (ENSCCEG00000004790.1)
Source: RNAcentral
CUCUGUGGGACCUGGCCAGAGGGUGACACAGCUCAUCUCCGUGCUCCUUUAUUGCUGUUCCUUUUCCCUCUUUGUGGUGACACUUGUCUCCAUCCCUGAGCAGGGCAAUGCUGGCCCCAGGGGCCUUCCUGGAAUUCCCGGUCCAGGAGCUGCCACGGGGGAAAUUGGAGGGAAAGGCCAGAAGGGAGAGAAGGGCCGAGAAGGUUUGCUGGCAAGUACAGCUGGGGCUGGGUGGCCAAAGUGAUGGGUGCCAAGGAGGGGAUGCACCCCUGGUGGGAAACCUUGGGCUCUGGGAGCUGCAGAAAAUCCUAGGAAUUGUCAAAUUAGGGAGUUUCAUGUCUCACAGGCAUGACACCAAAACUGGGCAUUGUUGGCACAAAAGGAUGGUUUGGGUUUGUGGGGCAGUUUGGGCAAUGCUGCCUCCAGCCAAAUUCCAGCCGCUGCUGGGCUGGGAACACAUCUCCCUGUGUGUGCCAGGGCCAGGGUGGUGUCACCGGAGCUGCAGGACCUGCUGGAGCCAGAGGAUGGUUUGGGGGGACAGGACUCCGAGGUCCUCCUGGGCUCGACGGUCCCGAGGGAGAGAAGGUACAGAGGGAUGAUGGAUCCAAUCCUUCAUCUCUGUGUGAAACUCCCUUUUCUGGCCUCUUCCCAAGCUUUCCUGGUGGGAAUGUGCUGGGAAUGUGCUGGGAGUGGCUGGAUGGCUGUCCUGGGCAGGCUGGUGACAGGGACACGCCUUGCUGCCUGAGCUCCAGAGCCAGCAAGGCAGGGAAGGGUUUUUCCAUGGACAGAGCUGUUUCCCUUCCUUUCCCAGGGAGAUCCAGGGCCACGAGGUGUGGAUGGACCUGCUGGGGCUGCAGGAUUCGAGGUGCUGAUUGAUGCCUGGAAUGUU